This 396-nucleotide ribosomal RNA is filed under the name uncultured bacterium. RNAcentral's name for it is "partial 16S ribosomal RNA". It matches the Rfam family "Bacterial small subunit ribosomal RNA", at positions 523 to 918 of the family's 1533-position model. The record is from RNAcentral.
AUACGUAGGGAGCGAGCGUUGUCCGGAAUUAUUGGGCGUAAAGCGCAUGUAGGCGGUUUGGUAAGUCGGUCGUGAAAAUGCGGUGCUUAACGCCGUAUGGCGAUUGAAACUGCUGAACUUGAGUGCAGGAGAGGAAAGGGGAACUCCCAGUGUAGCGGUGAAAUGCGUAGAUAUUGGGAAGAACACCGGUGGCGAAGGCGCCUUUCUGGACUGUGUCUGACGCUCAGAUGCGAAAGCCAGGGUAGCGAACGGGAUUAGAUACCCCGGUAGUCCUGGCCGUAAACGAUGGGUACUAGGUGUGGGAGGUAUCGACUCCUUCCGUGCCGGAGUUAACGCAAUAAGUACCCCGCCUGGGGAGUACGGCCGCAAGGCUUAAACUCAAAGGAAUUGACGGGG